Panthera uncia (snow leopard) is the source of this 356-nucleotide long non-coding RNA. RefSeq lists it as uncharacterized. The transcript has 3 exons. The record is from RefSeq and is a predicted model, not a curated record. NCBI's taxonomy places the organism in Eukaryota, Metazoa, Chordata, Mammalia, Carnivora, Felidae.
UCACCCUGGAUAGCAGCAUUUCCUUCACCUUCCUGGCAGAGGGAACCAACAGCAUCACUGUCCAGGUGGCUGCUGGAAAUGCCCUUAUUCAGGACACAAAAGAUAUCGCUGUUCAUGAAUACUUCCAGUCCCAACUGUUGUCCUUCUCUCCAAACCUGGAUUACCACAACCCUGACAUUCCUGAGUGGAGGCAAGAUAUUGGCAAUGUCAUCAAGAGAGCUCUGGUUAAAGUAACCGGCGUCCCGGAAGACCAGAUCCUAGUUGCCGUGUUCCCUGGUCUCCCCACUUCAGCAGAGCUCUUCAUCCUUCCCCCCAAGAACUUGACGGAGAGGAGGAAAGGCAAUGAAGAGGACCUG